RNAcentral lists this ribosomal RNA (506 nucleotides) under uncultured bacterium. RNAcentral describes it as "bacterial SSU rRNA". It matches the Rfam family "Bacterial small subunit ribosomal RNA", at positions 8 to 488 of the family's 1533-position model. The record is from RNAcentral.
AGAGUUUGAUUAUGGCUCAGAACGAACGCUGGCGGCGUGGAUAAGACAUGCAAGUCGAAUGGGAACCUUCGCAUUAGCAAUAGUGUGAAGGUUUCAGUGGCGAAAGGGUGCGUAACACGUGGGCAAUCUGCCCUCCUGUGGGGGACAACCCCGAGAAAUCGGGGCUAAUACCGCAUGUGGUUGAGGGUCUUAUGAUCCGAAAACCAAAGCUGGGGAUCCGCAAGGACCUGGCGCAGGAGGAGGAGCCCGCGUCCUAUCAGCUAGUUGGUGAGGUAACGGCUCACCAAGGCUUACGGGUAGCUGGUCUGAGAGGANGACCAGCCACACUGGGACUGAGACACGGCCCAGACACCUACGGGUGGCAGCAGUCGAGAAUUUUUCUCAAUGGGCGAAAGCCUGAAGGAGCGACGCCGCGUGGGGGAUGAAGGACUUCGGUUCGUAAACCCCUGUCACCCGGGAACAAACCUUCCGUCGCAAUACGACGGAAGCUGAUUACCGAGAGAAGC